This 433-nucleotide ribosomal RNA is filed under the name uncultured bacterium. RNAcentral describes it as "partial 16S ribosomal RNA". It matches the Rfam family "Bacterial small subunit ribosomal RNA", at positions 29 to 507 of the family's 1533-position model. The record is from RNAcentral.
AGCGAACGCUGGCGGCAGGCUUAACACAUGCAAGUCGAGCGGGCACUUCGGUGUCAGCGGCAGACGGGUGAGUAACACGUGGGAACGUACCCUUUGGUUCGGAAUAACGCUGGGAAACUAGCGCUAAUACCGGAUACGCCCUUUUGGGGAAAGGCUUGCUGCCGAAGGAUCGGCCCGCGUCUGAUUAGCUAGUUGGUGGGGUAAUGGCCUACCAAGGCGACGAUCAGUAGCUGGUCUGAGAGGAUGAUCAGCCACACUGGGACUGAGACACGGCCCAGACUCCUACGGGAGGCAGCAGUGGGGAAUAUUGGACAAUGGGCGCAAGCAUGAUCCAGCCAUGCCGCGUGAGUGAUGAAGGCCUUAGGGUUGUAAAGCUCUUUUGUCCGGGACGAUAAUGACGGUACCGGAAGAAUAAGCACCGGCUAACUUCGUG